Long non-coding RNA from Phyllostomus discolor (pale spear-nosed bat), 2809 nucleotides. RefSeq lists it as uncharacterized. The transcript has 2 exons. NCBI's taxonomy places the organism in Eukaryota, Metazoa, Chordata, Mammalia, Chiroptera, Phyllostomidae. The record is from RefSeq and is a predicted model, not a curated record.
GGUACUCAGCCUUUUUUACAUCUCUUUUCUAACAGACUCUGCAGCUACAGCUCCAAGACCCAUGUCAUCUUAUAUCAGUGACUUCCUGCCAGAAGCACAAAGAGGAAGGAAGGUGAGGAUGCCAGAACAGCCAGAUUCCUUUUGUGCACAGCCUGAACCUUUCCUGCCACCCCAGGGAUUUGGGACUCUGAGAAGCACUGAGGGCCAGUGAGCGCUUAACCUUGCAGCUGCUCAGGGUGCAGCCUCCGGCUGUGCUCCCUACUUCCUUCUGGAUCUGGAGCUGGGGGUGAACAAAUGUGCCAAGAACUGCAGUACACUCUGGGACUCAGAGCAUGAUUGGACCAGAGGAAAGUCCGGGAACUCGGCGUUCUGCAGUGUCUUUAAGGUUAGACAAACAGAACACUGGAAGUGAGCUGGGACUCGAGACAGAAGCACCACAGGUCAAGUGAACCUAACUCACCAUAGGGCUCUGCACAUUGCUUUUGAAAGUCAAAAAGAAAAGUAGGCAGCACGCUAGGCACUUACUAGGCCCUCAACCUAUAGAGGGGCCGGCAGAAGUAAUGCCUGCUUGAGUGUGGUUGACAGGGUAAUAAUAUGGGUAUAAUACUUUUAGUUUUAAUGUGAACAUUUCACCUAAAAUAUCAUAUGGUGUGGCUGAGUGUGAUAUUGUUAAAUUGCAGAAUUACAUGCUGUUAUUAUGCAACAAAAGAUUUUGUAAUAAAAAAAGCACAGGGUCCAUCGUUAUUUGUGCCAGACCCUAUACUUUGUGAUUUACUAAUAACUACUAUUGGUCAGGUGCAUAAUCAAGUCAAGAUCAAUAGUUAAGCAACUGAGUAGAAAUAACAGCCAGGAGAGUGAGAGGGCUGUGUGUUUUUAUCGCCUGCAGGAAGCUGAAGGCCUGUGGUAGGCUGGGAGAGAAAUCUGGCUUAAAAGCAAAUACCCUCUCUAAAAGGCAUCACAAAAAUUUGUUCUGAUCAGCCUUAAAUUUGUAAAGUGCUGAUUCUCGAUUCUGUUGAAGAGUUAAUUUGAUGGCGGGGGGGGGGGGGGGGAAGGGGAGUGGCAUUCAUUACCUAGAAAGAAGCAGGAGGAAGGGUUUGAGACACUCAGGGCAAACUCUGCCUACUACCUGCAUUUGCAGAGUAGCCCUUGGUUUGUUCUAACUCUCGCUGAGCCGUGCGCCCAGAAAACUGCCUCACUUUCCCAAGUCUAAUCUGUUAAAUAGGCAGGGUGGUGCCACUCUGGUCACCAAACCUGGAUGACAGGACUGAUGGCCUGGCUCUGCCAACUCUUCAGUUGAAAGCAUUUUUUUUAUCACUGGAGGAAUUACUUAAUGCACAGUAAGACUUAGGACACAAUUAAUUAAAAUAACACUUAACAAUAUUUGAGAGCAUGUGUAGAAUAUUAUACCUUUGAAAAAAGACAAAAGACAAUAUAGUAAGUUGAUGUCCGGAACUUUUUAAAAAGAAAAACCUCCCCUAAGGGGCUCAGUAAACACUUAGUCAGUAUUACCCAGUGACCAUGGAUGAACCUGCCAGUGUUUAAAACAGAAACAGAUAAAGUUUAAGGACAGUGACCCAUUUUCUCUGCAUUCGACACAUAAAAUCCAACAUUCUUAUUGAGUUCUAAUCGCUGGGUGAUCCUGAAAUGCAUGAAUAUGUUAAAUGCUGCUUCCCCUUUCUCCCCAGAGAGUCUAAAAACUUAGGUAUGACAUGUUUAAAUAGAAAGAUGGGUUCAUCUACAGAGAUAAAGCUUAGAUUCUAAAGCAGUUAUGCAGUUUCCCCAACAUUUUAGAGGCUCUCAUGUUCACGUCCAACAAAUAAUAAAUUAGCUGAAGGUUGGUUUUCAUCCCAUGCAUUAAAAAUAGGUCCUGUGGAGCAUCUUGGGAGUCUGUUUGGAUUUACGUGGUCACGUGUCACCAAGGCUAUUCAUGACCUUCCUCCCAUGUCCAGUGUCAUCAUCUUUGCCCUUUAUCAUGACCCCCUUCUGACUACCCUGGUCCUCAGCUCCUAUCCGGUCGAAAUGGAAGAGGGCACACUAGGGGGUGUUUGGAGGAGUGGCAGACAGGACUAAUAAGCACAUACAGUAUUUGUUUCAUUAGGACAUGGCAAAGCAGAUAGGAGGCUUUCAAAAUAGAGUAGAGUUAUAUUUUAUUGAGUAAACUAACAAAUAAAUGAAUGAGUAAGUGCCUAUAGGGACUAAACAAUGGACAUAUUUUAUGUAGUUCUGCAAUCUACUUCUACAGACAUUAAAAAAAAUUCCCCAAAAGACCAUAGUGAUGGAAGAAGUUCAGGAUCGUCUGUCAUCCCAGGGCAACUAUGGUCAAGGUCUGUCUUACUCACAACUGUGGGGAAACAACAGCAGCAGCAGCAGCAACAAAGCAACAACUUAUAUAAAAGUUUAUUGAAUAAAAGCAUGACUAUCUCCUGUGCUCAGCAUUGGAAGGCUCAUUAAAAUUGUCUAAUCAAGUGGUUUUCAAACUGUAAGUGAGUUAGGAAAUCAGUUCGACUGUCCUUUUGAAAUCUGUAUUGUAGUUACAUAUGCACAUUAUUUAUAUGUGAUAUUUACAUGUUCUUAUGUAUAAUAACUGAAACAAAAAUAUUACACACUUCUGUAAUAUGUGUGUGUAACUUGAUGACUCAGGCUAUAGAUGAAAGGCAAAAUAUCAGAUAAGUAACAACAAGCACUGGAUUAUUCACACCACUUACAUGCCUCUACAGUUUACCUCUGAAAUGGUCAGCCUGAUUUUACUUGAAUAUUCCCAUUGCUUAUUGACUCUUCGGAUAAAUGCCUUGAACUGUACUGAGUCAAA